AGUGAAGCGGCAACAGCUCAAAUUUGAAAUCUGGCUCCCUCGGCGUCCUAGUUGUUUUUUGAAGAUACUUUUGCUGGGGUGGCCUCCUGGUUCCCUGCCUGGGAACGGCCUACAGGGUGGGAGACAAUCCUGGUGGGAUGCGACGUCCCCGCCCAUGUCCUGCGCCUUCUACAAUUCUAGUUGUUUGGGAAUGCAACUCUAAGGGGGUGGUAAAUUUCAUCUAAAGCUAAAUAUUGGCCCGAUACCGAUAGCGUACAAUUAUAGUGAUAGAAAGAUGAAUAUAACUUUAAAAAUAAAGUGAACCUGAACUUGAAAUUGUUGAAAGGGAAAGGUUCUGGAUCGGACUCGAUUAGUCGUGUGCCGUUCGCCCCUGUGCCGGUGUCCUCCCCUCGCGGCGGGCCAUUUUCCCUUGGGGAGGCUGGUGAAGGGAACGUGGAAUGCUUCAGGGAGUGGGGUGUCCCAUUGCCUGGUACCCUGUGGGGGACUGAGGUUCCCGCAUCUGCACUUAUGCUGGCAUAUUGGUCAUCAGCUACCCAUCUUGCCGUCUUGACCACGGACCAAGGAGUCUAACCUCUAUGCGAGUGGUCGGGUGUCAAACCCGUCCGCGCAAUGAAAGCGAACGGAGGUGAGAGCCCUUCUGAGCGCAUCAUCAACCGAUCCUGAUGUCUUCGGAUGGAUUUGAGUAAGA
RNAcentral lists this ribosomal RNA (688 nucleotides) under Talaromyces amestolkiae. Its description in RNAcentral is "partial large subunit ribosomal RNA". It matches the Rfam family "Eukaryotic large subunit ribosomal RNA", at positions 92 to 799 of the family's 3401-position model. The record is from RNAcentral. Lineage: Eukaryota; Fungi; Ascomycota; Eurotiomycetes; Eurotiales; Trichocomaceae.